UAAAAGUUGGAGGGUGAUGUAAAUCAGAUAUUGAUAUGAAAUUGAUUCAUAAUAUAAGAGAUGAAUCUGUUGUGCUUUUUAUGACCUGAAUUGAAUGCUAUUCUAAAUGUAAAUUGCUACUAUAAAAUGAAAUAUGAGAUGCUUUGAUGACCCGAAAGGAACUUUGAACAAUAUUUGUUCCAUGAAUUUAGAUGUUGUGAGAUGCCUCCUUGAUCCUAAAAGCAAUUAUUAUGAACAUUUUACUCAUAAC
RNAcentral lists this long non-coding RNA (250 nucleotides) under Trifolium pratense (red clover). Its description in RNAcentral is "long non-coding RNA (TPRA_LNC006164)". The record is from RNAcentral. Lineage: Eukaryota; Viridiplantae; Streptophyta; Magnoliopsida; Fabales; Fabaceae.